UACAGAGGGUGCAAGCGUUGUUCGGAAUUAUUGGGCGUAAAGCGCGUGUAGGCGGCAGUGCAAGUCGGGUGUGAAAGCCCUCAGCUCAACUGAGGAAGUGCGCCCGAAACUGCAUUGCUUGAGUACCGGAGAGGAUGGCGGAAUUCCCGAAGUAGAGGUGAAAUUCGUAGAUAUCGGGAGGAACACCGGUGGCGAAGGCGGCUAUCUGGACGGACACUGACGCUGAGACGCGAAAGCGUGGGUAGCAAACAGG
Molecule: ribosomal RNA, 253 nt
Filed under: uncultured bacterium
Lineage: Bacteria
Description: partial 16S ribosomal RNA
Rfam family: Bacterial small subunit ribosomal RNA
Source: RNAcentral